RNAcentral lists this ribosomal RNA (392 nucleotides) under uncultured bacterium. RNAcentral's name for it is "partial 16S ribosomal RNA". It matches the Rfam family "Bacterial small subunit ribosomal RNA", at positions 524 to 918 of the family's 1533-position model. The record is from RNAcentral.
UACGGAGGAUGCAAGCGUUAUCCGGAUUUAUUGGGUUUAAAGGGUGCGUAGGCGGGACUGUAAGUCAGGGGUGAAAUACUGCAGCUUAACUGUAGCAUUGCCUUUGAAACUGCCGUUCUUGAGUACAGUUGAGGUAGGCGGAAUGUGGUGUGUAGCGGUGAAAUGCAUAGAUAUACCACAGAACGCCGAUUGCGAAGGCAGCUUACUAAGCUGUUACUGACGCUGAGGCACGAAAGCGUGGGGAUCAAACAGGAUUAGAUACCCUGGUAGUCCACGCUGUAAACGAUGAUUACUGGUUGUUAGCGAUAUAUAGCUAGUGACUGAGCGAAAGCAUUAAGUAAUCCACCUGGGGAGUACGUCGGCAACGAUGAAACUCAAAUGAAUUGACGGGG